This 460-nucleotide ribosomal RNA is filed under the name uncultured bacterium. RNAcentral describes it as "partial 16S ribosomal RNA". It matches the Rfam family "Bacterial small subunit ribosomal RNA", at positions 338 to 795 of the family's 1533-position model. The record is from RNAcentral.
CCUACGGGUGGCAGCAGUGAGGAAUAUUGGUCAAUGGACGAGAGUCUGAACCAGCCAAGUAGCGUGAAGGAUGACUGCCCUAUGGGUUGUAAACUUCUUUUAUAUGGGAAUAAAAUGUUCCACGUGUGGGAUUUUGUAUGUACCAUAUGAAUAAGGAUCGGCUAACUCCGUGCCAGCAGCCGCGGUAAUACGGAGGGUCCGAGCGUUAUCCGGAUUUAUUGGGGUUAAAGGGAGCGUAGGUGGAUUGUUAAGUCAGUUGUGAAAGUUUGCGGCUCAACCGUAAAAUUGCAGUUGAAACUGGCAGUCUAGAGUAUAGUAGAGGUGGGUGGAAUUCGUGGUGUAGCGGUGAAAUGCUUAGAGAUCAAGAAGAACUCUGAUUGCGAAGGCAGUUCACUGGACUGCAACUGACACUGAGGCUCGAAAGUGUGGGUAUCAAACAGGAUUAGAUACCCUUGUAGUC